Molecule: ribosomal RNA, 484 nt
Filed under: uncultured bacterium
Lineage: Bacteria
Description: partial 16S ribosomal RNA
Rfam family: Bacterial small subunit ribosomal RNA
Source: RNAcentral
AUUGAACGCUGGCGGCAUGCUUUACACGUGCAAGUCGAACGGCAGCGCGGGCUUCGGCCUGGCGGCGAGUGGCGAACGGGUGAGUAAUACAUCGGAACGUGCCCAGUCGUGGGGGAUAGCUCGGCGAAAGCCGGAUUAAUACCGCAUACGACCUGAGGGUGAAAGCGGGGGAUCUUCGGACCUCGCGCUAUUGGAGCGGCCGAUGGCAGAUUAGCUAGUUGGUGGGGUAAAGGCCUACCAAGGCGACGAUCUGUAGCUGGUCUGAGAGGACGACCAGCCACACUGGGACUGAGACACGGCCCAGACUCCUACGGGAGGCAGCAGUGGGGAAUUUUGGACAAUGGGCGAAAGCCUGAUCCAGCAAUGCCGCGUGUGUGAUGAAGGCCUUCGGGUUGUAAAGCACUUUUGGCGGGAACGAAAAGGACUGUGCCAAUACCACGGUUCGAUGACGGUACCCGCAGAAUAAGCACCGGCUAACUACGUG